This 492-nucleotide ribosomal RNA is filed under the name uncultured bacterium. RNAcentral's name for it is "partial 16S ribosomal RNA". It matches the Rfam family "Bacterial small subunit ribosomal RNA", at positions 29 to 507 of the family's 1533-position model. The record is from RNAcentral.
AGUGAACGCUGGCGGUAGGCCUAACACAUGCAAGUCGAACGGCAGCACAGUAAGAGCUUGCUCUUACGGGUGGCGAGUGGCGGACGGGUGAGGAAUACAUCGGAAUCUACUUUUUCGUGGGGGAUAACGUAGGGAAACUUACGCUAAUACCGCAUACGACCUACGGGUGAAAGCAGGGGAUCUUCGGACCUUGCGCGAUUGAAUGAGCCGAUGUCGGAUUAGCUAGUUGGCGGGGUAAAGGCCCACCAAGGCGACGAUCCGUAGCUGGUCUGAGAGGAUGAUCAGCCACACUGGAACUGAGACACGGUCCAGACUCCUACGGGAGGCAGCAGUGGGGAAUAUUGGACAAUGGGCGCAAGCCUGAUCCAGCCAUACCGCGUGGGUGAAGAAGGCCUUCGGGUUGUAAAGCCCUUUUGUUGGGAAAGAAAGGCAGCAGGUUAAUACCCCGCUGUUCUGACGGUACCCAAAGAAUAAGCACCGGCUAACUUCGUA